AAAGUCGGUGACAAAGGUCCAGUCGGGUUUCCAGGACCACCUGGCCCUGAGGGCUUCCCAGGUGACAUUGGCCCACCAGGAGAAAAUGGUCCUGAAGGCCUGAAGGGAAAGCCAGGAGCAAGAGGUUUACCUGGGCCAAGAGGACUGCCUGGACAAGAGGUGAGUGUCCUCAGACCAAAAGUAAAUUGGUUUUAAAGUAUAAUGUUGAAUUUUAAAGAUUAAUAUAUGCUGAAAUGGUG
This 239-nucleotide long non-coding RNA is filed under the name Athene cunicularia (burrowing owl). RNAcentral describes it as "lncRNA (ENSACUG00000014224.1)". Lineage: Eukaryota; Metazoa; Chordata; Aves; Strigiformes; Strigidae. The record is from RNAcentral.